RNAcentral lists this ribosomal RNA (253 nucleotides) under uncultured bacterium. RNAcentral's name for it is "partial 16S ribosomal RNA". It matches the Rfam family "Bacterial small subunit ribosomal RNA", at positions 524 to 776 of the family's 1533-position model. The record is from RNAcentral.
UACGUAGGGGGCAAGCGUUGUCCGGAAUCAUUGGGCGUAAAGCGCGUGUAGGCGGUCCGGUAAGUCUGCUGUGAAAGUCCAGGGCUCAACCCUGGGAUGCCGGUGGAUACUGUCGAGCUCGAGUCCGGAAGAGGCGAGUGGAAUUCCUGGUGUAGCGGUGAAAUGCGCAGAUAUCAGGAGGAACACCAAUGGCGAAGGCAGCUCGCUGGGACGUGACUGACGCUGAGACGCGAAAGCGUGGGGAGCAAACAGG